Long non-coding RNA from Hibiscus syriacus, 201 nucleotides. RefSeq lists it as uncharacterized. Lineage: Eukaryota; Viridiplantae; Streptophyta; Magnoliopsida; Malvales; Malvaceae. The record is from RefSeq and is a predicted model, not a curated record. The transcript has 3 exons.
AUCGUCAUCCUCGUCUUCGCCUUCAGACCAUGGCGCUUUUUAUCGCUCUCGCACCGUCAAGCUGUUUCGAAAUGUAUAUUUCAACCAUGAAUAUCAGUUAUGGCAAGUAGUUUGGUGGAUUUAAUAUGGUUGGUGAAUUGGAGAGAUCUCUUGUAUCAAAUGAUGUAGAUGUAGCCCUAGAUCAAAGCAACAAUUUGACAA